GGAGAUACUACCGUGAAUGCGCCUGGGAGCUAAGCAGGGUCGGGCCUGGUUAGCACUUGGAUGAGAGACCGCCUGGGGGAUUAUCAUUAAUGCCU
RNAcentral lists this ribosomal RNA (95 nucleotides) under Sorex araneus (European shrew). Lineage: Eukaryota; Metazoa; Chordata; Mammalia; Eulipotyphla; Soricidae. The record is from RNAcentral.